RNAcentral lists this ribosomal RNA (441 nucleotides) under uncultured bacterium. Its description in RNAcentral is "partial 16S ribosomal RNA". It matches the Rfam family "Bacterial small subunit ribosomal RNA", at positions 338 to 795 of the family's 1533-position model. The record is from RNAcentral.
GCUACGGGAGGCAGCAGUAGGGAAUCUUUCACAAUGGGCGAAAGCCUGAUGGAGCAACGUCGCGUGCAGGAUGAAGGCCUUCGGGUUGUAAACUGCUUUUAUAAGCGAGAAAGAUGAUGGUAACUUAUGAAUAAGGAUCGGCUAACUACGUGCCAGCAGCCGCGGUCAUACGUAGGAUCCGAGCAUUAACCGGAGUGACUGGGUGUAAAGAGGUGCGGAGUUGGCAUAUAAGUCGCUAGUGAAAUCUGGUGGCUCAACCCUUCAGACUCUUAGCUAAACGGUUAAGCUCGAGGCCGUUAGGGGUAACUGGAAUUUCUAGUGUAGGAGUGAAAUCCGUAGAUAUUAGCAGGAACACCAAUGGCGUAGGCAGGUUACUGGGACGGUUCUGACACUCAGGCACGAAAGCGUCGGGAGCAAACAGGAUUAGAUACCCCAGUAGUC